Molecule: ribosomal RNA, 467 nt
Filed under: uncultured bacterium
Lineage: Bacteria
Description: partial 16S ribosomal RNA
Rfam family: Bacterial small subunit ribosomal RNA
Source: RNAcentral
GAUGAACGCUGGCGGCGUGCUUAACACAUGCAAGUCGAACGGAAAGGCCCAAGCUUGCUUGGGUACUCGAGUGGCGAACGGGUGAGUAACACGUGGGUGAUCUGCCCUGCACUUCGGGAUAAGCCUGGGAAACUGGGUCUAAUACCGGAUAGGACCACUUCUUGGAUGUUGUGGUGGAAAGUUUUUUCGGUGUGGGAUGAGCUCGCGGCCUAUCAGCUUGUUGGUGGGGUAAUGGCCUACCAAGGCGUCGGCGGGUAGCCGGCCUGAGAGGGUGUACGGCCACAUUGGGGCUGGGAUACGGCCCAGACUCCUACGGGGGGCAGCAGUGGGGAAUAUUGCACAAUGGGCGCAAGCCUGAUGCAGCGACGCCGCGUGGGGGAUGACGGCCUUCGGGUUGUAAACUCCUUUCGCUAGGGACGAAGCGUUUUGUGACGGUACCUGGAGAAGAAGCACCGGCUAACUACGUG